UGGGGGAUUUUGGACAAUGGGCGAAAGCCUGAUCCAGCGACGCCGCGUGGAGGACGAAGCCCUUCGGGGUGUAAACUCCUUUUCUCAGGGAAAAAGGAUGAUGGUACCUGAGGAAUAAGCCCCGGCUAACUACGUGCCAGCAGCCGCGGUAAUACGUAGGGGGCGAGCGUUACCCGGAAUUACUGGGCGUAAAGGGUGCGUAGGCGGCCUUGCAAGUCCGGUGUUAAAAGCCCUGGCUCAACUAGGGAGAUGCGCUGGAAACUGUAAGGCUUGGGUGCAGCAGAGGCAGAUGGAACUGCUGGUGUAGGGGUGAAAUCCGUAGAUAUCAGCAGGAACGCCGGUGGAGAAGUCGGUCUGCUGGGCUGUGACCGACGCUGAGGCACGAAAGCUAGGGGAGCG
This 399-nucleotide ribosomal RNA is filed under the name uncultured bacterium. Its description in RNAcentral is "bacterial SSU rRNA". It matches the Rfam family "Bacterial small subunit ribosomal RNA", at positions 355 to 770 of the family's 1533-position model. The record is from RNAcentral.